Molecule: long non-coding RNA, 539 nt
Filed under: Homo sapiens (human)
Lineage: Eukaryota; Metazoa; Chordata; Mammalia; Primates; Hominidae
Description: HSALNT0392976
Source: RNAcentral
GAAGACUUAAAAAGGGGAAAUGUGGGUGCUGGAGAGCAUAACUGAUGAGGAGGACUCUCCAGCUAGGGAACUGCUUUCCAGCUCCUGGACCACCUCAUAUCACCAGCACCCUCUACCCAAGGUCCUGGAGCCAACACUGGAGUAAAAGAGCACAAGAGAACUCCUUAGAGGUGGAAGGAUACCCUCUGAGGUCAAAUCAUUGGGCUUGUGGCCAUGAGACCACAGACUUUGCCUGGCUUCCAGUGACUGUCCGAGAUGACCUGUGGAGUGCACCGCCUGUACUUGGACAUCACUGUCUUUUCGGAUCCAUACCCGUCAUCCUUGGAAUUUCCCCUGCAUCCAAACCUGUUCCUGAUACAGGUAUAACCCUAAGGAAUAUCUUGGAUGUCUUCACGGGGCUUAUGACUUAUUCUGAGGUUUACAAAAUAGAGGCCCCCAGCUGAGCAAAGAGAGGGCUGCAGCGCCGAGGGAACAGCUGCCGGACUCACCGGAGAGGCCUCCUGGAGCACGCCGGGACCCCCUCCACCCCCUGGCUUUGG